RNAcentral lists this transfer RNA (90 nucleotides) under Nitrososphaerota archaeon. RNAcentral's name for it is "Thaumarchaeota archaeon tRNA-Ser". It matches the Rfam family "tRNA". From Rfam's summary of the family: Transfer RNA (tRNA) molecules are approximately 80 nucleotides in length. The record is from RNAcentral. Lineage: Archaea; Thermoproteati; Nitrososphaerota.
GGAGAGGUCGCAUAGUGGCCUAGUGCGCGCGCUUGGAAAGCGCGUUUGUCCGCAAGGGCAACGAGGGUUCGAAUCCCUCCCUCUCCGCCA